Long non-coding RNA from Anguilla anguilla (European eel), 685 nucleotides. RefSeq lists it as uncharacterized. The transcript is spliced from 3 exons. The record is from RefSeq and is a predicted model, not a curated record. NCBI's taxonomy places the organism in Eukaryota, Metazoa, Chordata, Actinopteri, Anguilliformes, Anguillidae.
UCGUUUUAUCACAACCACUUCACCACGGUCUCGUUCAGCGAGGCGCAAAAUAGGCUACACGAAGCGAGAUGAGAUGACAAGCGGCAGAACAAUGACUGCGAGCCUUCGGAUGUGGCGGGAGGAAAGUGCAGGCGAGCGAAGGAGGCAGCGGGAAGAGAAAUGACCUCUGACCCCCUGAAAGCACAUCGCCGGCUCUUACGCGCCCGAGGGGCACUGACUUCUGGGUAAAUUACCGGAGAGCGUGCGGCCAGCUAAUGUCCCUCUCUCCCAGCUUUCACAGAACGAGCCGUACCCACCGCUGAGGACACCCACGCCAUGUCCAGCCAGUCACGAUUCUGGGCAAUUUUAUUGGAAGCGCUGGACAAGAAGAAUUGCCUAUUUUAGACGGGGGGAGACCGUAAAGUGUAUUCGGUAAUAUUUUCUCGUACCCAAUUACACAUGUUAUUAUUAUAUAUAAAGUAGCAACUGAUAAUACAUCUAUAAAGAUUUCUAUAUGUAAAAAUAUACUGUCAUUUCUUCUAUGAGAUAAUUGAAUAUUGUAUGGAAAUGGUAUAAACCGAUAACGUGUAGUAUAUAAGCAGGUAAUUUGCUGUCAGUAGUGUGGGCAUAAUGUGUAUAAAUGAAGUGCUGAUUUUUUUUGUGUGCGUUUUGUAUAUGUAUAUAAAUAUUUGUAUAAUUGGGGGCA